RNAcentral lists this ribosomal RNA (176 nucleotides) under uncultured soil bacterium. RNAcentral describes it as "partial 16S ribosomal RNA". It matches the Rfam family "Bacterial small subunit ribosomal RNA", at positions 26 to 215 of the family's 1533-position model. The record is from RNAcentral.
AGAUUGAACGCUGGCGGAAUGCUUUACACAUGCAAGUCGAACGGCAGCACGGGGGCAACCCUGGUGGCGAGUGGCGAACGGGUGAGUAAUACGUCGGAACGUGCCCAUGUCGUGGGGAUAACGUAGCGAAAGCUACGCUAAUACCGCAUACGAUCUACGGAUGAAAGCGGGGAUCG